RNAcentral lists this ribosomal RNA (484 nucleotides) under uncultured bacterium. RNAcentral's name for it is "partial 16S ribosomal RNA". It matches the Rfam family "Bacterial small subunit ribosomal RNA", at positions 30 to 507 of the family's 1533-position model. The record is from RNAcentral.
AUUGAACGCUGGCGGUAUGCCUAACACAUGCAAGUCGAACGGCAGCGCGGGAGGAACCCUGUCUGCCAGUUGGGGACGGGCGAGCAAGGGAUAGAUACAUGCCAAUCUGCGGGUUCGAAGGGGGUGAAGUAGAGGCUAUUACGGUAUUCGACCAUCGGGCGUACGUGUGGAAGCAUCGGAUCUUACGCGAUCGCACGAUUCGAUGCCCGGUUAGCUAGUUGGCGGGGUAAAGGCCCACCAAGGCGACGAUCCGUAGCUGGUCUGAGAGGAUGAGCAGCCACACUGGAACUGAGACACGGUCCAGACUCCUACGGGAGGCAGCAGUGGGGAAUAUUGGACAAUGGGCGCAAGCCUGAUCCAGCCAUACCGCGUGGGUGAAGAAGGCCUUCGGGUUGUAAAGCCCUUUUGUUGGGAAAGAAAAGCAGCAGGUUAAUACCCCGCUGUUCUGACGGUACCCAAAGAAUAAGCACCGGCUAACUUCGUG